AACCCUUGGUAAGGGCACCUUCUCAAUAAAUCCUCGUAUCUCUCCUAUGCAUCAUAAAGUGUUUCUAAAUCCAUCUGCACAAAAGAAGAGAUAUCAUUCCUCAAUUU
Gossypium hirsutum (cotton) is the source of this 107-nucleotide non-coding RNA. The record is from Rfam. NCBI's taxonomy places the organism in Eukaryota, Viridiplantae, Streptophyta, Magnoliopsida, Malvales, Malvaceae.